AAACUUUCAACAACGGAUCUCUAGGCUCUUGCAUCGAUGAAGAACGUAGAGAUUGCGAUAAGUAGUGUGACUUGCAGUUUCAGUGAAUCAUCGAAUUUUUGAACGCACAUUGCGCCCUAUGGUAUUCCGUAGGGCAUAUCUGUCUGAGCGUUAUU
Molecule: ribosomal RNA, 155 nt
Filed under: fungal endophyte sp. AP709
Lineage: Eukaryota; Fungi
Description: 5.8S ribosomal RNA
Rfam family: 5.8S ribosomal RNA
About the family: 5.8S ribosomal RNA (5.8S rRNA) is a component of the large subunit of the eukaryotic ribosome. It is transcribed by RNA polymerase I as part of the 45S precursor that also contains 18S and 28S rRNA. Functionally, it is thought that 5.8S rRNA may be involved in ribosome translocation.
Source: RNAcentral